UACGAAGGGGGCUAGCGUUGCUCGGAAUGACUGGGCGUAAAGGGCGCGUAGGCGGUUUGUACAGUCAGGUGUGAAAUUCCCGGGCUCAACCUGGGGGCUGCACUUGAUACGUAGGAACUGGAGUGGGGAAGAGGGUCGUGGAAUUCCCAGUGUAGAGGUGAAAUUCGUAGAUAUUGGGAAGAACACCCGUGGCUAAGGCGGCUCUCUAGUACGGUACUGACGCUGAGACGCGAAAGCGUGGGGAGCGAACAGG
This 253-nucleotide ribosomal RNA is filed under the name uncultured bacterium. Its description in RNAcentral is "partial 16S ribosomal RNA". It matches the Rfam family "Bacterial small subunit ribosomal RNA", at positions 524 to 776 of the family's 1533-position model. The record is from RNAcentral.